UACGUAGGGGGCAAGCGUUGUCCGGAAUCAUUGGGCGUAAAGAGCGCGCAGGCGGCUUGGCAAGUCGGGUGUGAAAUCCCGGGGCUCAACCCCGGGACUGCAUUCGAUACUGUCAGGCUAGAGGUAGGUAGGGGAGAUCGGAAUUCCUGGUGUAGCGGUGAAAUGCGCAGAUAUCAGGAGGAACACCGGUGGCGAAAGCGGCUUCCUGGCCCGACACUGACGCUCAUGUACGAAAGCGUGGGGAGCAAACAGG
RNAcentral lists this ribosomal RNA (253 nucleotides) under uncultured bacterium. Its description in RNAcentral is "partial 16S ribosomal RNA". It matches the Rfam family "Bacterial small subunit ribosomal RNA", at positions 524 to 776 of the family's 1533-position model. The record is from RNAcentral.